CCCUUAGAUGUUCUGGGCCGCACACGCGCUACACUGAAGGAGGCAGCGUGUACUCCUGGAUCGAAAGAUUUGGGUAACCCGCGAAUCUCCUUCGUGCUAGGGAUUGAGGUUUGCAAUUAUCCUUCAUGAACGAGGAAUUCCCAGUAAGUGCAAGUCAUAAGCUUGCGCUGACUACGUCCCUGCCCUUUGUACACACCACCCGUCGCUACUACCGAUUGAAUGAUUUAGUGAGGACUUCGGACUGGGACCGAUGCGGCUUUCGGGCUGCGUCGGUAUUCUGGAAAGAUGUCCAAACUGUNUNAUUUAUNGGAAGUAAAANUCGUANCA
This 327-nucleotide ribosomal RNA is filed under the name uncultured eukaryote. RNAcentral describes it as "partial 18S ribosomal RNA". It matches the Rfam family "Eukaryotic small subunit ribosomal RNA", at positions 1470 to 1796 of the family's 1831-position model. The record is from RNAcentral.